This 301-nucleotide ribosomal RNA is filed under the name uncultured bacterium. Its description in RNAcentral is "partial 16S ribosomal RNA". It matches the Rfam family "Bacterial small subunit ribosomal RNA", at positions 509 to 807 of the family's 1533-position model. The record is from RNAcentral.
CAGCAGCCGCGGUAAUACGAAGGGUGCAAGCGUUACUCGGAAUUACUGGGCGUAAAGCGUGCGUAGGUGGUUGUUUAAGUCUGUUGUGAAAGCCCUGGGCUCAACCUGGGAAUUGCAGUGGAUACUGGGCAACUAGAGUGUGGUAGAGGGUAGUGGAAUUCCCGGUGUAGCAGUGAAAUGCGUAGAGAUCGGGAGGAACAUCCAUGGCGAAGGCAGCUACCUGGACCAACACUGACACUGAGGCACGAAAGCGUGGGGAGCAAACAGGAUUAGAUACCCCCGUAGUCCCUGUCUCUUAUAC